GGGAAUGUAGCUUAGUGGUAGAGCGCUUGUCUAGCAUGUAUGAGACACUGGGUUUGAUUCCUCAGUACCA
Molecule: transfer RNA, 70 nt
Filed under: Dipodomys ordii (Ord's kangaroo rat)
Lineage: Eukaryota; Metazoa; Chordata; Mammalia; Rodentia; Heteromyidae
Rfam family: tRNA
About the family: Transfer RNA (tRNA) molecules are approximately 80 nucleotides in length. Their secondary structure includes four short double-helical elements and three loops (D, anti-codon, and T loops). Further hydrogen bonds mediate the characteristic L-shaped molecular structure. tRNAs have two regions of fundamental functional importance: the anti-codon, which is responsible for specific mRNA codon recognition, and the 3' end, to which the tRNAs corresponding amino acid is attached (by aminoacyl-tRNA synthetases). tRNAs cope with the degeneracy of the genetic code in two manners: having more than one tRNA (with a specific anti-codon) for a particular amino acid; and 'wobble' base-pairing, i.e. permitting non-standard base-pairing at the 3rd anti-codon position.
Source: Rfam by way of RNAcentral